Long non-coding RNA from Ahaetulla prasina, 785 nucleotides. RefSeq lists it as uncharacterized. The record is from RefSeq and is a predicted model, not a curated record. Lineage: Eukaryota; Metazoa; Chordata; Lepidosauria; Squamata; Colubridae. The transcript is spliced from 3 exons.
CCUAAUAAAGGCUUCUCCUCUGUCUUAUGUAGACAAAUCUUAGCAGCCUGCCCCCUGAAAGAAAAAAAAAAUCCCUCAAGGUUUCAAGCACCCCUGAACACUGACAGCCGUAUUACUGCUCCACAGCUGCAGGUAGUCCUUGAGUUUUGACAGCAAUUGGGAACAAGAUCUCCAUCACUAAAGCUGAAAAUCCUUUCUAUUAAGCAUUAAUAUGGAACACUUACCUCCAUUGACCAAUAUAGCUGUGCCUGUAUCCUGAACUACAAAUUCCUCAUUUGGGUUGUCAGAACAUCUAAACUCCAGCAUCUUUAUCAAGUAAUGGAUUCCUUCCUUAAGAAACUGAAGUGAAAAAUAAAUGGCAUUUAAGGUAGCCUUUUCAAUACAUAGUCCUCACAACAGAACAAUCUUCACGAAACACACAAACAAAUUUCCAUGCGAUAAAAGUUACAUUAUUUACUUUCUAUUUAUCAGUGGACUCAAAAAUAAGACUGUGGAAAUAAGAGCAAUGUACUUGAUGGAUGCUAUCAAUACAUAACUAAGCCAAGGGCAAGUAUUUGUAUCUUACAAGAGGCUGUUUUUUUUUGAUGCAGGUGUCCUGCAUAUGAAAUGUUCUCUGUGCUAGUUAUAGCUGAUGCUAAAUCUUGCUAGGUUUUGGCCAUAAGGACUUGUUUGAUCAGGCUUGAGAUGGAAUUUAAGCUACUGAUAUAAUCAUUAUGUUUGCCACCUUGAAUUGCUUGUAAUAGAUGGGAUAAAAAUCUAAUAAAAUAAAGAUUUUAACUUUUGUA